This 492-nucleotide ribosomal RNA is filed under the name uncultured bacterium. RNAcentral's name for it is "partial 16S ribosomal RNA". It matches the Rfam family "Bacterial small subunit ribosomal RNA", at positions 30 to 507 of the family's 1533-position model. The record is from RNAcentral.
AGUGAACGCUGGCGGUAGGCCUAACACAUGCAAGUCGAACGGCAGCACAGUAAGAGCUUGCUCUUACGGGUGGCGAGUGGCGGACGGGUGAGGAAUACAUCGGAAUCUACUUUUUCGUGGGGGAUAACGUAGGGAAACUUACGCUAAUACCGCAUACGACCUACGGGUGAAAGCAGGGGAUCUUCGGACCUUGCGCGAUUGAAUGAGCCGAUGUCGGAUUAGCUAGUUGGCGGGGUAAAGGCCCACCAAGGCGACGAUCCGUAGCUGGUCUGAGAGGAUGAGCGGCCAAACGGGGACGGAGACACGGACCAGCCUCAUACGGGAGGCAGCAGUAGGGAAUAGUGGACAAUGGUCGAAAGUAUGAUAGAGCAAUAUCGAGGGAGUGAAGAAGGGCGGAGGGUUGUAAAGAUCGUUUGGUGGAAAAGAAAAACAAAGGGAGGAAACACAGCUGGUAGGAAGGUACCUAAAGAGAAAGAAACGGCUAACGACGUG